GCGGAUGUGCCAGAGCGGUUAAUGGGACAGACUUGAAAUCUGCUGGGCCCAGCCCACACGAGUUCGAAUCUCGUCAUCCGCU
RNAcentral lists this transfer RNA (82 nucleotides) under Candidatus Endolissoclinum sp. TMED37. RNAcentral's name for it is "tRNA-Ser". It matches the Rfam family "tRNA". Rfam says of the family: Transfer RNA (tRNA) molecules are approximately 80 nucleotides in length. Their secondary structure includes four short double-helical elements and three loops (D, anti-codon, and T loops). The record is from RNAcentral. Lineage: Bacteria; Pseudomonadati; Pseudomonadota; Alphaproteobacteria; Rhodospirillales; Rhodospirillaceae.